AUCUUAUACAGAAGCGGCGAGAGAUUAGGCUCUACGACCCGCUGGCAACCUUCGACCGCGCGAAAGGUGCCACUUCCUACCCCUCGGCCUUCCGGCCGCUGCGGGAAAUAUAACCG
RNAcentral lists this non-coding RNA (116 nucleotides) under Hymenobacter sp. RNAcentral describes it as "SAM-I sequence". It matches the Rfam family "SAM riboswitch aptamer (S box leader)". From Rfam's summary of the family: The SAM riboswitch is found upstream of a number of genes which code for proteins involved in methionine or cysteine biosynthesis in Gram-positive bacteria. Lineage: Bacteria; Pseudomonadati; Bacteroidota; Cytophagia; Cytophagales; Hymenobacteraceae. The record is from RNAcentral.